RNAcentral lists this ribosomal RNA (301 nucleotides) under uncultured bacterium. RNAcentral's name for it is "partial 16S ribosomal RNA". It matches the Rfam family "Bacterial small subunit ribosomal RNA", at positions 509 to 807 of the family's 1533-position model. The record is from RNAcentral.
CAGCCGCCACGGGAAUACGUAGGUGGCAAGCGUUGUCCGGAAUUAUUGGGCGUAAAGGGCUCGCAGGCGGUUUCUUAAGUCUGAUGUGAAAGCCCCCGGCUCAACCGGGGAGGGUCAUUGGAAACUGGGAAACUUGAGUGCAGAAGAGGAGAGUGGAAUUCCACGUGUAGCGGUGAAAUGCGUAGAGAUGUGGUGGAACACCAGUGGCGAAGGCGACUCUCUGGUCUGUAACUGACGCUGAGGAGCGAAAGCGUGGGGAGCGAACAGGAUUAGAUACCCGCGUAGUCCCUGUCUCUUAUAC